AAUCUGCCCCACUAGUCUGGGAUACCACUUGGAAACAGGUGCUAAUACCGGAUAAGAAAGCAGAUCGCAUGAUCAGCUUUUAAAAGGCGGCGUAAGCUGUCGCUAUGGGAUGGCCCCGCGGUGCAUUAGCUAGUUGGUAAGGUAAAGGCUUACCAAGGCGAUGAUGCAUAGCCGAGUUGAGAGACUGAUCGGCCACAUUGGGACUGAGACACGGCCCAA
RNAcentral lists this ribosomal RNA (219 nucleotides) under uncultured bacterium. RNAcentral describes it as "partial 16S ribosomal RNA". It matches the Rfam family "Bacterial small subunit ribosomal RNA", at positions 123 to 334 of the family's 1533-position model. The record is from RNAcentral.